RNAcentral lists this ribosomal RNA (1439 nucleotides) under Vibrio sp. CIFRI CH-TSB-27. Its description in RNAcentral is "bacterial SSU rRNA". It matches the Rfam family "Bacterial small subunit ribosomal RNA". Lineage: Bacteria; Pseudomonadati; Pseudomonadota; Gammaproteobacteria; Vibrionales; Vibrionaceae. The record is from RNAcentral.
GGCCUAACACAUGCAAGUCGAGCGGAAACGAGUUAUCUGAACCUUCGGGGAACGAUAACGGCGUCGAGCGGCGGACGGGUGAGUAAUGCCUAGGAAAUUGCCCUGAUGUGGGGGAUAACCAUUGGAAACGAUGGCUAAUACCGCAUGAUGCCUACGGGCCAAAGAGGGGGACCUUCGGGCCUCUCGCGUCAGGAUAUGCCUAGGUGGGAUUAGCUAGUUGGUGAGGUAAGGGCUCACCAAGGCGACGAUCCCUAGCUGGUCUGAGAGGAUGAUCAGCCACACUGGAACUGAGACACGGUCCAGACUCCUACGGGAGGCAGCAGUGGGGAAUAUUGCACAAUGGGCGCAAGCCUGAUGCAGCCAUGCCGCGUGUGUGAAGAAGGCCUUCGGGUUGUAAAGCACUUUCAGUCGUGAGGAAGGUGGUGUAGUUAAUAGCUGCAUUAUUUGACGUUAGCGACAGAAGAAGCACCGGCUAACUCCGUGCCAGCAGCCGCGGUAAUACGGAGGGUGCGAGCGUUAAUCGGAAUUACUGGGCGUAAAGCGCAUGCAGGUGGUUUGUUAAGUCAGAUGUGAAAGCCCGGGGCUCAACCUCGGAAUAGCAUUUGAAACUGGCAGACUAGAGUACUGUAGAGGGGGGUAGAAUUUCAGGUGUAGCGGUGAAAUGCGUAGAGAUCUGAAGGAAUACCGGUGGCGAAGGCGGCCCCCUGGACAGAUACUGACACUCAGAUGCGAAAGCGUGGGGAGCAAACAGGAUUAGAUACCCUGGUAGUCCACGCCGUAAACGAUGUCUACUUGGAGGUUGUGGCCUUGAGCCGUGGCUUUCGGAGCUAACGCGUUAAGUAGACCGCCUGGGGAGUACGGUCGCAAGAUUAAAACUCAAAUGAAUUGACGGGGGCCCGCACAAGCGGUGGAGCAUGUGGUUUAAUUCGAUGCAACGCGAAGAACCUUACCUACUCUUGACAUCCAGAGAACUUUCCAGAGAUGGAUUGGUGCCUUCGGGAACUCUGAGACAGGUGCUGCAUGGCUGUCGUCAGCUCGUGUUGUGAAAUGUUGGGUUAAGUCCCGCAACGAGCGCAACCCUUAUCCUUGUUUGCCAGCGAGUAAUGUCGGGAACUCCAGGGAGACUGCCGGUGAUAAACCGGAGGAAGGUGGGGACGACGUCAAGUCAUCAUGGCCCUUACGAGUAGGGCUACACACGUGCUACAAUGGCGCAUACAGAGGGCGGCCAACUUGCGAAAGUGAGCGAAUCCCAAAAAGUGCGUCGUAGUCCGGAUUGGAGUCUGCAACUCGACUCCAUGAAGUCGGAAUCGCUAGUAAUCGUGGAUCAGAAUGCCACGGUGAAUACGUUCCCGGGCCUUGUACACACCGCCCGUCACACCAUGGGAGUGGGCUGCAAAAGAAGUAGGUAGUUUAACCUUCGGGGGGACGCUUACCACUUU